GACGAACGCUGGCGGCGUGCCUAACACAUGCAAGUCGAACGGAAAGGCCCUGCUUUUGUGGGGUGCUCGAGUGGCGAACGGGUGAGUAACACGUGAGUAACCUGCCCUUGACUUUGGGAUAACUUCAGGAAACUGGGGCUAAUACCGGAUAGGAGCUCCUGCUGCAUGGUGGGGGUUGGAAAGUUUCGGCGGUUGGGGAUGGACUGGCGGCUUAUUAGCUUGUUGGUGGGGUAGUUGCUUACCAAGGCGUUGACGGGUAGCCGGCCUGAGAGGGUGACCGGCCACAUUGGGACUAAGAUACGGCCCAGACUCCUACGGGAGGCAGCAGUGGGGAAUAUUGCACAAUGGGCGGACGCCUGAUGCAGCAACGCCGCGUGCGGGAUGACGGCCUUCGGGUUGUAAACCGCUUUCGCCUGUGACGAAGCGUGAGUGACGGUAAUGGGUAAAGAAGCACCGGCUAACUACGUG
Molecule: ribosomal RNA, 468 nt
Filed under: uncultured bacterium
Lineage: Bacteria
Description: partial 16S ribosomal RNA
Rfam family: Bacterial small subunit ribosomal RNA
Source: RNAcentral